AAGACAACUCUCAACAACGGAUAUCUUGGCUCUCGCAACGAUGAAGAACGCAGCGAACUGCGAUACGUAAUGUGAAUUGCAGAAUCCCGUGAAUCAUCGAAUCUUUGAACGCAUAUUGCACUGAAGGCUUCGGCUAACAGUAUGUCUGUCUCAGCGUC
This 158-nucleotide ribosomal RNA is filed under the name Eubrownia dissociata. Its description in RNAcentral is "5.8S ribosomal RNA". It matches the Rfam family "5.8S ribosomal RNA". Rfam says of the family: 5.8S ribosomal RNA (5.8S rRNA) is a component of the large subunit of the eukaryotic ribosome. The record is from RNAcentral. Lineage: Eukaryota; Viridiplantae; Chlorophyta; Chlorophyceae; Chlamydomonadales. RNAcentral also lists the same sequence under 1 other name.